RNAcentral lists this transfer RNA (71 nucleotides) under bacterium. RNAcentral's name for it is "tRNA-Lys". It matches the Rfam family "tRNA". Rfam says of the family: Transfer RNA (tRNA) molecules are approximately 80 nucleotides in length. Their secondary structure includes four short double-helical elements and three loops (D, anti-codon, and T loops). Further hydrogen bonds mediate the characteristic L-shaped molecular structure. tRNAs have two regions of fundamental functional importance: the anti-codon, which is responsible for specific mRNA codon recognition, and the 3' end, to which the tRNAs corresponding amino acid is attached (by aminoacyl-tRNA synthetases). tRNAs cope with the degeneracy of the genetic code in two manners: having more than one tRNA (with a specific anti-codon) for a particular amino acid; and 'wobble' base-pairing, i.e. permitting non-standard base-pairing at the 3rd anti-codon position. The record is from RNAcentral.
GCCCCCAUAGCUUAGUGGUAAAGCAGUUGCCUCUUAAGCAAUUGACCUUGGUUCGAUUCCAAGUGGGGGCA